RNAcentral lists this ribosomal RNA (442 nucleotides) under uncultured bacterium. RNAcentral describes it as "partial 16S ribosomal RNA". It matches the Rfam family "Bacterial small subunit ribosomal RNA", at positions 338 to 795 of the family's 1533-position model. The record is from RNAcentral.
CCUACGGGGUGCAGCAGUAGGGAAUCUUUCACAAUGGGCGAAAGCCUGAUGGAGCAACGCCGCGUGCAGGAUGAAGGCCUUCGGAUUGUAAACUGCUUUUAUAAGCGAGAAAUAUGAUGGUAACUUAUGAAUAAGGAUCGGCUAACUACGUGCCAUCAGCCGUGGUCAUACGUAGGAUCCGAGCAUUAUCCGGAGUGACUGGGUGUAAAGAGUUGCGUAGGUGGCAUAAUAAGUAGAUAGUGAAAUCUGGUGGCUCAACCAUUCAGACUAUUAGCUAAACUGUUAGGCUCGAGACCGUUAGUGGUAAGUGGAAUUUCUGGUGUAGGAGUGAAAUCCGUAGAUAUUAGAAAGAACACCGAGAGCGUAGGCAGGUUACUGGGACGGUUCUGACGCUAAGGCACGAAAGCGUAGGGAGCAAACGGGAUUAGAUACCCUUGUAGUC